GAUGAACGCUGGCGGCGCGCCUAAUACAUGCAAGUCGAGCGAACAGACGAGGAGCUUGCUCCUCUGACGUUAGCGGCGGACGGGUGAGUAACACGUGGAUAACCUACCUAUAAGACUGGGGUAACUUCGGGAAACCGGAGCUAAUACAGGAUAAUAUAUUGAACCGCAUGGUUCAAUAGUGAAAGACGGUUUUGCUGUCACUUAUAGAUGGAUCCGCGCCGCAUUAGCUAGUUGGUAAGGUAACGGCUUACCAAGGCGACGAUGCGUAGCCGACCUGAGAGGGUGAUCAGCCACACUGGAACUGAGACACGGUCCAGACUCCUACGGGAGGCAGCAGUGGGGAAUCUUCCGCAAUGGGCGAAAGCCUGACGCAGCAACGCCGCGUGAGUGAUGAAGGUCUUCGGAUCGUAAAACUCUGUUAUUAGGGAAGAACAAAUGUGUAAUUAACUAUGCACGUCUUGACGGUACCUAAUCAGAAAGCCACGGCUAACUACGUG
This 497-nucleotide ribosomal RNA is filed under the name uncultured bacterium. RNAcentral's name for it is "partial 16S ribosomal RNA". It matches the Rfam family "Bacterial small subunit ribosomal RNA", at positions 28 to 507 of the family's 1533-position model. The record is from RNAcentral.